CCUACGGGUGGCAGCAGUGAGGAAUAUUGGUCAAUGGACGCAAGUCUGAACCAGCCAUGCCGCGUGCAGGAAGACGGCUCUAUGAGUUGUAAACUGCUUUUGUACGAGGGUAAACGCAGAUACGCGUAUCUUUCUGAAAGUAUCCUACGAAUAAGGAUCGGCUAACUCCGUGCCAGCAGCCGCGGUAAUACGGAGGAUUCAAGCGUUAUCCGGAUUUAAUGGGUUUAAAGGGUGCGUAGGCGGUCGGAUAAGUUAGAGGUGAAAUCCCGAGGCUCAACUUCGGAAUUGCCUCUGAUACUGUUCGGCUAGAGAGUAGUUGAGGUAGGCGGAAUGCAUGGUGUAGCGGUGAAAUGCGUAGAGAUCAUGCAGAACACCGAUUGCGAAGGCAGCUUACCAAGCUACUACUGACGUUGAGGCACGAAAGCGUGGGGAGCAAACAGGAUUAGAUACCCGGGUAGUC
Molecule: ribosomal RNA, 460 nt
Filed under: uncultured bacterium
Lineage: Bacteria
Description: partial 16S ribosomal RNA
Rfam family: Bacterial small subunit ribosomal RNA
Source: RNAcentral